Long non-coding RNA from Gadus macrocephalus (Pacific cod), 399 nucleotides. RefSeq lists it as uncharacterized. NCBI's taxonomy places the organism in Eukaryota, Metazoa, Chordata, Actinopteri, Gadiformes, Gadidae. The record is from RefSeq and is a predicted model, not a curated record. The transcript has 2 exons.
UUAUGUCUUGUUCCUGUACUGCCCUUGGUGGGCAGUGUUUGUGGCCCUCUGCUCUGUGAUUAAUUAAUGAUAAUUAAGGUGGGUGUUCCACCUGGUACGAUGUUGGACGGGUUCCGCUCCAGAUGUUUGUUCUUGUCCUCGGCGCCGUUCCUCUUGACCUCUAACAGGAGAAGAAGGACACAUCAGCAUAGAGUGUAGAGAAGAGGUGGUGUUGCUAGAGGGGGUGUCACUACAGAGGAGAGUGGGUGUUACAAGAGGUGGUGUUACUAGCGGUGGUGUUUCCACCUGGGUUUUCCCUCUGCUUGCUGCUGCGCUGGGCGCGGGCGUACAGCGCCACCUGCUGCACCACCUCCAGCUGCUCCUCCACCCGAGGGAAGUGGAAGUCUGUGCACUCCACCG